RNAcentral lists this RNase P RNA (346 nucleotides) under Clostridiales bacterium. RNAcentral's name for it is "RNase P RNA component class A". It matches the Rfam family "Bacterial RNase P class A". From Rfam's summary of the family: Ribonuclease P (RNase P) is a ubiquitous endoribonuclease, found in archaea, bacteria and eukarya as well as chloroplasts and mitochondria. Lineage: Bacteria; Bacillati; Bacillota; Clostridia; Eubacteriales. The record is from RNAcentral.
CGAGCAAGCAAGGAAACGGCCGAAGGUUUGAUACCUUUGGAGGAAAGUCCGGGCUCCACAGGGCAGGAUAGCUGCUAACGGCAGCCGAGGGCGACCUCAGGGCUAGUGCAACAGAAAAGAACCGCUCUUUUCAAGAGCAAGGGUGAAAAGGCGAGGUAAGAGCUCACCAGAGUGCAGGCGACUGCACUGCUGUGUAAACCCUAUCCGGAGCAACACCGACCAGGGCGCGCGCCAGCGCAGGCUUGCCCGGCCCAUGCCCUAGCAGGUGGCUUGAGGCAUAUGGCAACAUAUGUCCCAGAUAGAUGGCUGUUUUCGACAGAACCCGGCUUACAGGCCUGCCGGCUCU